This is a long non-coding RNA of Bos taurus (domestic cattle), 2904 nucleotides long. NCBI's taxonomy places the organism in Eukaryota, Metazoa, Chordata, Mammalia, Artiodactyla, Bovidae. The record is from Ensembl.
GGGUUGCAAAGAGUUAGACAUGAUUUAGCGAGGGAACAACAACAGGAAAGAAUGGAAGAAUGAAUAUUGAGGGAAAGCCUCAAUACAUCUGCCACAAAUAUAUCACAGGAAAGAUGUGGGAGUGAAAUAAGUAAGGCACAUAAGAUCAUUCAACAAUGGGCUUGACACAAGGUAGAUGCGUAUAAAUCUUGGCUCCUUCCCCUUCACCAAACAAAAAGGAACUGCCAAUUGACCUCAAUUUCUUGAGAUAUUGGCCUCCAUUCAAAGUAUAGUUAUGGUAGGGAUGGUUCCACUGGUCUCACCUCCUGGUAUUUACACCAUUAGAUAAUCUCUUCUCCUUGAGCACAAGUUGGACCAAGUGGCUCACUUCUAAUGAAGAGAAUAUAGAAUAGCACUUUUGAGAUAAGGUUAUAAAAGAUUACAAUUUCCACUCACUGGCAUCUUGCUAGUUUAUCUCGUUUGCUCAUUCUGGUGAUGCCAACUGCCAUGUUGUGAUCUGUGCUAUAGAAAGGGCCAUAUGGCAAGGGACAGCCUGUGAGGACCUGAAUCAGGCAAAGAACCACAUGACUGGACUCAGAAGCAGAUUCUUCCCCAGCAGAGCCUUGACAGAACCGUAGCCCAGGCUAACACGGUUAAUGGCAGAUCAUGAGAGAUUCUGAAGCAGAGGACCCAGCUAAACUGCAACUGGAUCCCUGGAUCCCUUAUAGGAGAUAAUAAGUCUUUUCUGAGUUGCUAAGCUCCAGGAUAAUUCGUUGGGAAGAAAUAGAUAAUAAUAAAACAGUGAAAAGUUAUCAAGUUAGAAUGAAUGUAAAUUGUGCUUAUUAUCUGAGAGUCACUGAAGCUGUUAGAAAAAUCAGAGAACCCAACUCCGUUUUUGGAUUUGUGAAUCACUCUGCUGUUGUCCAUAUGCAGGAGCAUUUGCCCACUACUGCAGAGGAUUAAAGCUAAGGAGGUUGGCUGUACCUGACAGGAGGUGCUCAGAAUUGCUGGUUGAAUAGAAAGAAGAAAGGAAGGGAGGGAUGGAUGGAGGGAGAGAGUGAAAGAUGGAGGAAAGGGAGAAAGGGAAAGAGGGGAAAAAAAGGAAAAGAAGGGAUGACAUUAACUCACUUCUGCUCUCACUGUAUUGUCCGCCUUUCUCAGCAGGUCCAUUUGUCUACAUUGCUUCAGUAAAGGUAUCUGGCCAAACAUUGGAGAUUCCAUUCAAGGAUAUGACUGUGUUUUUCCAGAAUUUACAGGAAGUGAAAGAGUAGGAGACAGUGAUUCACAGUACAGACAGACUAUCAUAGAGAAGAGAGAGGAUGGGGAUGGGGAGAGAGAGAACAGUGAGAUCUGAAAAGCCAAGAAUAUAGGGAAUUUGGCUUCUGCAUCCAAGCAGCACCCACCAGAUGGUAAUAAGAUCUUAGAGAAGAAUGGCUGCAAAGCAAGUUCAGGCAGGCUUGAAUAGACACCCAUGCCCCCAACCUCAGCAGGGACUUCUCAAAGGAAAAAGGCUGUAACAGCAGAAACAUUGAUGGCCAGUUCUACCACUUCUAUUCAGCAGUGUGGUGGAGGUUCUUGCCAGCGCAAUAAGAAAAGGAAAUUUUUAAAAUCUAGAUUGAAAAGGAAGAGGUAACACUGUCUUUAUUCAGAGACAACAUGAUAGUCUAUACUGAAAACCUGAAGGACUCUGAAAAAAGCUACUAGAACUAAUAAUUUAGUUAGCAAGGUUGCAGGAUAAAAGAUCAGUACAAAAAUCAAUUAUAUUUCUAUGUACUAGCAACAAAGAAUCCAAAGUUGAAAUUUAAAAAGAAAUACAAUUUGCAACAUCAUCAAAAAAUGUGAAAUACAAAGAUUUAAAUUUGACAAAAGAUGUGAGGCCUAUACAGUGAAAACUACAGAACACUUCUGAGAUUAAACAAAGUAAAAAAAAGUUAAAGGAAGUCUAAAUGAGUGGAUAGAUACACCAUGUUCAUGAGUCAGAAGACUCAAUGUUGCUAAAAAUGUCAGUUCUCCCCAAACUGAGCUAUAGUUUCAAUAUAGUCCCAAUCAAAAUCUCAAUCCCAGAAGAUACUUUAGAUAUUGACAAGGUGAUUCCAAAAUUUAUAUAGAAUGCAAAUAUAAUAUGCUAGCACAUCGUUGAAAACAAUGAAGCUUGAGGUCUUACACUACCUGACUUGUAGACUUAUUAUAAAGCUAAAGUAACCCAGAUCUUGUGGUACUGGCAUCAGAAUAGUGAAAUAGAUCAAUGGAGUGAAACAGUUCAAAUAUAUACACACACACACAACUGAUUUUUGACAGAAGUUCAAAGUCAAGUCAGUGAAAAAAGUCUACUCUUUUCAACACCCUGUGAUGGAACAAUUGGACGUUUAUAUGUAAAACAGCAAAUUUUGAUCCCUACCUCACACUGUACAUAACUAAUAACUCAAAUUGAAUGAUAGAAUAAAAUUUAAAACCUAAAAUAAAACUUAUAGAAUAAAAAAAUAAAAGAAAAAUUUGUGACCCUCAAAGAUUAUUUAGAUAUAUCAAAAGCAUAGUCCAUACAAAGACAAACUGAUAAAUUGACCUUCAUCAAAAUUUAGAACUUCUGGCAUUCAAUAGAGACAGAAAUAAGACACAGAUAAUGAGAAAAUCUUUGCAAAGCAUAUAUCUUCUAAAGGACAUGUAUCCAGGCUGUAAGUUCAGUUGCUCAGUCGUGUCUGACUCUUUGUGAACCCAUGGACUGCAGCACACCAGGCUCCUCUGUCUUCCACAAUCUCUCAGUUUGCUCAAAUUCAUGUCAAGUCAGUCAGUGAUGCUCUGUAAUCUUCUCAUCCUCUGUGGCCCCAUUCUCCCUUUGCCUUCAAUCUUUCCCAGCAUCAGGGUCUUUUCCAAUGAGUUGUGGCCAAAGUAUUAGCUUAUACAUGACUGUUCCUACCAGCUUUAUCU